UACGUAGGGGGCAAGCGUUGUCCGGAAUCAUUGGGCGUAAAGCGCGUGUAGGCGGCCGAUCAAGUCCGAUGUGAAAGCUCGAGGCUCAACCUCGAGUCUGCAUUGGAAACUGCUCGGCUAGAGUCCGGAAGAGGAGACUGGAAUUCCUGGUGUAGCGGUGAAAUGCGCAGAUAUCAGGAAGAACACCGGUGGCGAAGGCGGGUCUCUGGGACGGUACUGACGCUGAGACGCGAAAGCGUGGGGAGCAAACAGG
RNAcentral lists this ribosomal RNA (253 nucleotides) under uncultured bacterium. Its description in RNAcentral is "partial 16S ribosomal RNA". It matches the Rfam family "Bacterial small subunit ribosomal RNA", at positions 524 to 776 of the family's 1533-position model. The record is from RNAcentral.